GAUGAACGCUGGCGGCGUGCCUAAUACAUGCAAGUCGAGCGAACAGACGAGGAGCUUGCUCCUCUGACGUUAGCGGCGGACGGGUGAGUAAAACGUGGAUAACCUACCUAUAAGACUGGGAUAACUUCGGGAAACCGGAGCUAAUACCGGAUAAUAUAUUGAACCGCAUGGUUCAAUAGUGAAAGACGGUUUUGCUGUCAAUUAUAGAUGGAUCCGCGCCGCAUUAGCUAGUUGGUAAGGUAACGGCUUACCAAGGCGACGAUGCGUAGCCGACCUGAGAGGGUGAUCGGCCACACUGGAACUGAGACACGGUCCAGACUCCUACGGGAGGCAGCAGUAGGGAAUCUUCCGCAAUGGGCGAAAGCCUGACGGAGCAACGCCGCGUGAGUGAUGAAGGUCUUCGGAUCGUAAAACUCUGUUAUUAGGGAAGAACAAAUGUGUAAGUAACUAUGCACGUCUUGACGGUACCUAAUCAGAAAGCCACGGCUAACUACGUG
RNAcentral lists this ribosomal RNA (497 nucleotides) under uncultured bacterium. RNAcentral's name for it is "partial 16S ribosomal RNA". It matches the Rfam family "Bacterial small subunit ribosomal RNA", at positions 28 to 507 of the family's 1533-position model. The record is from RNAcentral.